GGACCCCACUGCUAUCGGGAUGGGACUAAGACAUGCUAGUCGAGCGUCUCCAAGCUAUGGAAGAGACGCGGCACACAGUUCAGUAACACGUGGCUAACCUGCCCUUGGGACAAGGACAACCCCGGGAAACUGGGGCUAAUCCCUGAUAAGUGAGAACUCCUGGAAUGGAUUCUCGCUCAAAGGACGUUUAGACCAUGCUUCUAAGCGUCGCCCAAGGAGGGGGCCGCGACCGAUCAGGUUGUUGGUGAGGUAACGGCUCACCAAGCCUUUAACCGGUACGGGCCGUGAGAGCGGAAGCCCGGAGAUGGGCACUGAGACAAGGGCCCAGGCCCUACGGGGCGCAGCAGUCGCGAAAACUCCGCAAUACACGAAAGUGUGACGGGGCUAUCCCGAGUGCCAUCCGCUGAGAAUGGCUUUUCCCCAGUGUAUAAAGCUGGGGGAAUAAGAAGAGGGCAAGACUGGUGUCAGCCGCCGCGGUAAUAUCAGCUCUCCGAGUGGUGGGGAUGCUUAUUGGGCCUAAAGCAUUCGUAGCCGGUUCGGCAAGUCCUCCGUUAAAUCCAGCGAUUCAAUCGUUGGACUGCGGGGGAUACUGCUGGGCUAGGGGGCGGGAGAGGCCGACGGUAUCCUCGGGGUAGGGGUGAAAUCCUAUAAUCCCGGGUAGACCACCAGUGGCGAAGGCUGUCGGCUAGAACGCGCCCGACGGUGAGGGAUGAAAGCUGGGGGAGCGAACCGGAUUAGAUACCCGGGUAGUCCCAGCUGUAGACGAUGCAGGCUAGGUGUUGGAGCGGCUACGAGCCGCUUCGGUGCCGCAGGGAAACCGUUAAGCCUGCCGCCUGGGGAGUACGGCCGCAAGGCUGAAACUUAA
RNAcentral lists this ribosomal RNA (865 nucleotides) under uncultured archaeon. Its description in RNAcentral is "bacterial SSU rRNA". It matches the Rfam family "Archaeal small subunit ribosomal RNA", at positions 19 to 859 of the family's 1478-position model. The record is from RNAcentral.